CCCUUCGACCCCGAUCGACGACCCGGCGACUGGGUCCGACGGGAACUCUUCCUUCCGGCCACCUCACGACGGCGCACUGGCGCCAAUGGCUUCCUCUCCUUGUCGCCGACGUCUUUAUGGGGUUAGAUUGUCCAGUCAGCAUCUCUGGGAAGAGAACUGAAGCUUGGUGUUUCCCGGCGGAUUCUCAGCAUGAGCUCUGAGACAUGAAUUGCUACUGUUGUCCUGAUGUUUGAAUAGAGAUGGAUGUUGACUUUGAAGCUCUGUCAAUCAAAUUGGGCUGUGGUCGCAACACGGGAAUUAGCAAAGGUAAAUUGUAAAACCCAGACUCGGAAUUAUGCUAUGUUGGUUGAUUGUGCAGAAUGGGUUGUUUCUCACGGUUGGAAUUGAAAAUGAUGAUCAUGGCAUGAUUGUUUGAUUUUAAUAUUUGGAAGGUGAUGACAUGCAUGAUUAUCUCCCCACCAUGACAAGGACGAUGUUUCCAGGAAAGGAAUGAAAUAUAUUUAAUUCUAUUUGAGUUAAUUGUAAAUGGUGAACUCGAGUUGGUUUUCGUGGGUUUGAUCUACUGUCAAUUUUAGGCUGAGAUCAAAUACCCGAUAUGUGUAUAUUUGUGUUAUGUAUAUGAUUAUCCACUGUGAUGGAGUUAAUAAGUCAUUAUCAAGACUAGUGUUGGUAUUAAAGUGUAAAUAGUUGAGCCUAGUGUUGGGUUGUCGUGUGGUGAUCUGCUGUACGAAAGAAAAGAGUUCGGAAACUGAGUUGUUGCAUAUGGUCUUUGACUAAGUUUGAUUAUUGGACUGUAAACAUGAGUCGGAAUUUAUUAAUUCAUGGUAAAGUCUUGUAUUUGGAAUGGAAUUGUUGGAUUUACAGAAGUGUUUCUAGUUG
Molecule: long non-coding RNA, 879 nt
Organism: Rosa rugosa (rugosa rose)
Lineage: Eukaryota; Viridiplantae; Streptophyta; Magnoliopsida; Rosales; Rosaceae
Exons: 2
Source: RefSeq, a predicted model, not a curated record